This 72-nucleotide transfer RNA is filed under the name Enterococcus faecalis. Its description in RNAcentral is "tRNA-Glu". It matches the Rfam family "tRNA". From Rfam's summary of the family: Transfer RNA (tRNA) molecules are approximately 80 nucleotides in length. Their secondary structure includes four short double-helical elements and three loops (D, anti-codon, and T loops). Lineage: Bacteria; Bacillati; Bacillota; Bacilli; Lactobacillales; Enterococcaceae. The record is from RNAcentral. RNAcentral also lists the same sequence under 2 other names.
GGCCCGUUGGUCAAGCGGUUAAGACACCGCCCUUUCACGGCGGUAACACGGGUUCGAGUCCCGUACGGGUCG